This 83-nucleotide transfer RNA is filed under the name Clostridia bacterium. RNAcentral describes it as "tRNA-Leu". It matches the Rfam family "tRNA". Rfam says of the family: Transfer RNA (tRNA) molecules are approximately 80 nucleotides in length. Their secondary structure includes four short double-helical elements and three loops (D, anti-codon, and T loops). Further hydrogen bonds mediate the characteristic L-shaped molecular structure. tRNAs have two regions of fundamental functional importance: the anti-codon, which is responsible for specific mRNA codon recognition, and the 3' end, to which the tRNAs corresponding amino acid is attached (by aminoacyl-tRNA synthetases). tRNAs cope with the degeneracy of the genetic code in two manners: having more than one tRNA (with a specific anti-codon) for a particular amino acid; and 'wobble' base-pairing, i.e. permitting non-standard base-pairing at the 3rd anti-codon position. Lineage: Bacteria; Bacillati; Bacillota; Clostridia. The record is from RNAcentral.
GCCGGUGUGGCGGAAUGGCAGACGCACCGCACUCAAAAUGCGGCGGUUUAUCCGUGCCGGUUCAAGUCCGGCCACCGGCACCA